UCCCUGGUGGCUCAGACAGUAAAGUAUCUGCCUAUAAUGCAGGAGACCUGGGUUCAAUCCCUGGGUCGGGAA
Molecule: non-coding RNA, 72 nt
Organism: Bos taurus (domestic cattle)
Lineage: Eukaryota; Metazoa; Chordata; Mammalia; Artiodactyla; Bovidae
Source: Rfam